AGGCUGAAAUUCGCCUUCAUGAAGCUGGAAUUGCUAGUAAUGGCAGGUCAGCAUACUGCCGUGAAUACGUUCCCGGGCCUUGUACACACCGCCCGUCACACCAUGAGAGUUGGGAAUACCCGAAGCCUGUAGUCUAACCGCAAGGAGGACGCAGUCGAAGGUGGGAUUGAUGACUGGGGUGAAGUCGUAACAAGGUACC
This 199-nucleotide ribosomal RNA is filed under the name uncultured bacterium. RNAcentral's name for it is "partial 16S ribosomal RNA". It matches the Rfam family "Bacterial small subunit ribosomal RNA", at positions 1302 to 1500 of the family's 1533-position model. The record is from RNAcentral.